AGCGGCGUCGGAGCAGCGUCGGAGCAGCGUCGUCGGAGGAGGAGGAGGAGCAAAAUUUGGUUUAAUUUGGUCGGAGGAGGAGCAGUUCGUCUUCCUCUUCUCCAAUGCUUCUCAAGCACCACCACCCUCAUUCUCGAACCUCUCUCCAACCUCCCAGCACUUCUCACAGGAAUGAUGAUUUACCUGUACAUGGGGUUUCGGAGAUAAUUGUGGGUGUAUAGGGAGAAGGCCAAUUGGGUCGAAUGCUAUGUCAAGCUGCGUCUCAAUUGGCAAUUAAGGUGAUUGUAUUGGACCUAAUGGAGAAUUGCCCUGCAAGUUCACUAUCACAUUAUCAUAUGGUGGGGAGUUAUGAUGAUAGUGCCAUGGUCCAAGAAUUUGCCAAAAGGUGUGGAGUGUUGACUGUUGAAAUUGAGCAUGUUGAUGUGGUGACAUUAGAGAAGUUAGAACAACAAUGGGUGGAUUGUCAACCCAAGGCCUCUACUAUCUGAAUUAUACAGGAUAAAUUUCUCCAAAAAGUUCAUUUUCGCGUCAUGGCAUUCCACGUCCUGAUUUUAUGCAGAUAUAUGAUUUUGAAAGUGCGAAGAGAGCUGGCGAACUAUUUGGCUAUCCUCUAAUGAUAAAGAGCAGGAGGCUUGCUUAUGAUGGGCAUGGAAACGCUGCUGCUAAGAGUGAAGAGGAGACCGCUUCUGCAGCAAAUGGUAAGAUGUUCAUUUCUAUAAAUUACUUGAACCAAUGAAUCAUAAUAAUUAGUAGAUUUUUUCCAAUGAGCCGUAUACCAUGCAAUUGCUUUCAUCAAUCAAAUUUGUCACCUUCUGAAUUUUUUUUCUUCUUUUUUACUUUUUAUGAGUACACCAUCUAAAUCUUUAAGCAUUAAUAUUUUUUAGUAUUGGGGAAGUUUUCUUUAGCUCACACAUAAACAUUUUAACGGAUUUAGUCAAUGCAACUAUGUUCAUAUAGAAAAUAUUAAGUGAUCACCAUCAACAUAUGUUUCAUAACAAGCUAGUCUUCAAAACCCAUCAUAGUCUGCCCAGGGGGUCAUUAUCAAAUAUUUAAAAUGUUUCAUUACCUAGUCGAUACUUGUGUUUGUUAAAAAAUUGCCAUUGCAUAUGUUGCUUCACCAUCGUGUUUCAUAAAUUAUGGUUGCUCUUGUGCUGUUUCAUGGAGCUUCCCUUUAACUUCAAUCUAAUAUGCUGCAAUUAAUGUGGAAACCAAAUUCACCUUUAUUAACUGUGAAGAAGGUAUGCAAUCAAAAGAAAAAUUUCAAAAUAUUUUGUGAACAACUAUAGUUUUUGGUCUAAAUUUGUAAAUUAAUUGCCAAAUGAAGCUAAACGGUAGGCUCCUGACAAAUAAAAGUUUCAAAAUAGAAUUAGUUCACAAAUGGUUCCUAGGUUUUCUCUUUUUUCCUUUUUGUUUAUGUGGUUUAUUUGCAUACAUAGAUAUGAUUAAUGUUAUAUCAUAUUUUCUUUUUUGGUCAUAAUUUGGUCAAAUAAUUCAGUGGAUGUUGACCUCAUUUGUCAAUUUUUGCUGUCUCAUUGUCUACGCUGUACUGAAUCUUUCAUGAGAGAAAAUGUAAUGGAAGAGAUGCGGCAAUUGCAACCUGAUGAUGAAAAUAAACAAAAAAUGCUGGACAUACUCAAACGAUUCCAUUCAGAAGAAGAGAUGGAUAACAUGGAUGAGGAUGCAGUUAUCUCUGCUUCCAUUUGCUUGAGGGGCAUGAGAGGAGAUUGGAGAGCAUUGCCUACUGUGGGUAUUUUGAUGAUGGAUGGCCUUGGACCCACUCUAACUGCUAUGUGACCUUGGAAUCAUCUCUUUUGGUUCAGUUCAGUUGUUAUCAUUCUGUUCCUAGUUUGACUAUGUAGCAAGUACCUGAAGGAGUUUUCAUUGUUUGAAUAUAAUUGUUUUCCUUCUUAAACUUUCAUUUUGAGGGUCUAGUCCUAUUUUGGUGUUUUUUCUCUUUUUUUGGUACAUAGUCUUUCUGUUAUUUUUUACA
Non-coding RNA from Camellia sinensis, 1990 nucleotides. The record is from RefSeq and is a predicted model, not a curated record. Lineage: Eukaryota; Viridiplantae; Streptophyta; Magnoliopsida; Ericales; Theaceae.